GAAUUUAGACCGCAACUAGUUGAACCAAGUGUGUUAGUGUUGUACUGGAACUAAAGCCUGCACACUGCAGCCAGUAUUCGAGGAUGUUCUCCAAGUAUGACAUGCAGUAUUUAAUUCAGUGUUGACCUGCCCACAAACAAUGUGUUGAAUACAACUCGCAUACCAAACAGACAAGCACUUGGGCUCCUGUACUGCCUCCACAAUGAAGGGUGAAAACAGCCCUAACUACAAUCAUCUGACUUGGUGAUUAAUCAGUCAUAUUUAUAGGAAACACUACUAAUCUCUUGUUUUCCACUUCCUGUGGGUUAUAAUUGGUUGGCUCUCCUGAAGUGUCUGCACAUUAGGGCCCAGAGUUGUUCCUAGGCUGUAACUAGGACCCAGAGUUUUACCUGGUCAGAUUAACAUGGACAUGGUGCAUAUUGAGAACUUAGCUUGACUUCUUUCCUUUAAAUAUUUUUUGUAAGAUAAAAAAAAUAUUACCGGAACACUAUUGUAUUUAGGACCACUUGAUUUAUUUUUUAAUCUAAGGAAACCUGAGGGUUAAAUGUUUUAGUUGGUGUAUAAAAUAUACAAUGCUGUUUUUGUUUUUCUUUAUUUUGUAUGUAAACCAAAUGUAAAUGAUGUAUUAUACUGUGUGCCAACCCAACUUUCUCUAGAGCCAGGCUCUCUCUCUCUCUCUUAAGUGCCAACGCUGACAUCAUCAUCAGGGGACAGCCACUUGGAUGGUCCCAUUUUUAAGAACACCAGAGACCUAAACACCUGGCAUGUUUAACUACGCCACCCCUAACAAAAACUAUAAGUACACUUUUUUUUAAAUUGUGUAAUUAUACAAUUGCAUGUAUUUAGUGUUGGGAGGAGGUGAAGGCUCAGAAAAAUGUAUUGGCUGAUGCAGAGACCUUGAUGAAAGGGUGGAAUCGGUUAUUGAUUGAUCGGUUGGUUAUUAUGGAUUAUUGAUUUGCAUUACUCUCGCCAUAUUUCUUUUCUUAUUUUAUGUGUGUUUUCAUGCAUUUGUUUCAACCACUGUUGCCUGAUCCUCAUUCAAACAUGAACAUGAUUUAUUACGAUCAUCGUCGCCUUCUAAGAGAGAACAUAAUGACAAGGUAUCUGUUUUAAAUUGAAAUAAAUUUGUUCGUAUACUUGCUGA
Long non-coding RNA from Oncorhynchus tshawytscha (Chinook salmon), 1144 nucleotides. NCBI's taxonomy places the organism in Eukaryota, Metazoa, Chordata, Actinopteri, Salmoniformes, Salmonidae. The record is from Ensembl.